CACGAGUAAUUUUGGUAAUGUCCUGUGUGUCCGGGGAAGUAAUUCCCCUAUUAUUGACUUUUAGCAAGAAUUUAUAAUUAAAUCAGGGAGGAGAAACGCUGGCAGCCGACACUAUGUCACAUUCUUUUCAAGUGUAAUGCCACAGUUUCAUGGAUGGUCACUUAGGCAUUGAAAUCGUGCAGCUAUGAGGGAGCAAACAGGAGGCUAGCCCGCCUUGAGAAGGUGCACUUUUACAAACAGCUUGUUAUCUGAUGCUGUGGUCUGCAGUUCCCUAAAACAUUUCCAGGGAAGAAACGUUGAAGGAAGCAUUUCUCAUGAGGAAUCAGUCUACAUACAUGGCACGUUUCUUGAAAAAGCUGCUCGGCCUACGUUUGCUUUCCAGAAGAACCGCGAUGAUUUUUCUUUUCCCGCUGUUAUGAUUUUAAUAAUUACAAUAAAAUGUGUGACUGGCCUAAACAGAUGUGUAGGAGAUCGGUGUACAAACGUCCAGGAGGGUCACCACCUGCCCGACCCGUCAUAUCAGUCACUCAGGCCGUGCAAAUAUGUCUUACAGUGAUGAGAACCUGUCCUCUGCUACAGCUCUGAAUUUUGGUUUUGGAAUGGAAAAGAACAGUCGGGUGCCAGUACCUACUUAUAUCCAUGGGGAUCCCUACAGCUCCAAGGCUACAAUUCAUGAGGUCAAAUCAUUAACCUGAGCAUGUACUCUGAGAUGGUGAAGCGCACCCCCCCCCCCACCUCCCAGAAGGGAGAUGUUGAUAAAACCCUAAGCGUUGGUAAAGUUUCAUUUUGCAGGGAGAAGAAAGGGGAAAUGAAAUGUUUCGAAAUUGCUUAUCUCAGUCAUAAAUAUAUGUUUUCUCCAUCGUCCAAAGACUGACCACAAAUAUUACUUGUGUCACCUCCAAUAAAAGACACACAAAACA
Panthera uncia (snow leopard) is the source of this 920-nucleotide long non-coding RNA. RefSeq lists it as uncharacterized. NCBI's taxonomy places the organism in Eukaryota, Metazoa, Chordata, Mammalia, Carnivora, Felidae. The record is from RefSeq and is a predicted model, not a curated record. The transcript is spliced from 4 exons.